GUUCAUCCGUAGGUGAGGACUAUUACUUGAAUACUUGCCCCCUCCUUUUGCUCGCCUUUCUGCGACUGAGGCUAAGUGUAAUUCCUCGUCUACCUACGUUCAUCCGUAGGUGAGGACUAUUACUUGAAUACUUGCCCCCUCCUUUUGCUCGCCUUUCUGCGACUGAGGCUAAGUGUAAUUCCUCGUCUACCUACGUUCAUCCGUAGGUGAGGACUAUUACUUGAAUACUUGCCCCCUCCUUUUGCUCGCCUUUCUGCGACAGGGGCUGAUUGUGUUUCCUCGUCUACCCGCGUUCAUCCGUGGGUGAGGAAUGUUCUUGAGCACGUCCCUCGUCUAAUCCUACGUUCUUCCGUAGGUGGGGUUUACUCUUGGACACUUGCCCCUCUGUCUACAUUUUUGUAGAAUGGGGUGUGUGUUUAGCCGACGUGUCCCCCGUCUAACCUACGUUCUUCCGUAGGUGGGGUUCACUUUUGCCG
RNAcentral lists this long non-coding RNA (476 nucleotides) under Zostera marina. Its description in RNAcentral is "long non-coding RNA (ZMAR_LNC002154)". The record is from RNAcentral. Lineage: Eukaryota; Viridiplantae; Streptophyta; Magnoliopsida; Alismatales; Zosteraceae.